This 253-nucleotide ribosomal RNA is filed under the name uncultured bacterium. Its description in RNAcentral is "partial 16S ribosomal RNA". It matches the Rfam family "Bacterial small subunit ribosomal RNA", at positions 524 to 776 of the family's 1533-position model. The record is from RNAcentral.
UACGAAGGGUGCUAGCGUUGUUCGGAAUUAUUGGGCGUAAAGCGUAUGUAGGCGGUUUGAUAAGUCAGUUGUGAAAGCCCUAGGCUUAACUUAGGAAUUGCAGCUGAAACUGUCUGGCUUGAAUUUGGUGGGGGAUAGUGGAAUUCUUAGUGUAGGGGUGAAAUCCGUAGAUAUUAAGAGGAACACCGGCGGCGAAAGCGACUAUCUACACCAACAUUGACGCUGAGAUACGAAAGCGUGGGGAGCAAACAGG